GGUAUGCAAGAGAGAUGUGAAAUCCCCGGGAUCAACCUGGGAACUGCAGUAGUGAAUGCAUAGCUAGAGUGCGGCAGAGGGGGAUGGAAUUCCGCGUGUAGCAGUGAAAUGCGUAGAGAUGCGGAGGAACACCGAUGGCGAAGGCAAUCCCCUGGGCCUGCACUGACGCUCAUGCACGAAAGCGUGGGGAGCAAACAGG
Molecule: ribosomal RNA, 199 nt
Filed under: uncultured bacterium
Lineage: Bacteria
Description: partial 16S ribosomal RNA
Rfam family: Bacterial small subunit ribosomal RNA
Source: RNAcentral